UACAGAGGGUGCAAGCGUUGCUCGGAAUUAUUGGGCGUAAAGGGUAGGUAGGUGGUCUUAUUUGUCUGAGGUGAAAGCCUUGAGCUUAACUCAAGAAGGGCCUCAGAAACGGUAGGACUAGAGUCCUGGAGAGGGUCGUGGAAUUCCCGGUGUAGCGGUGAAAUGCGUAGAGAUCGGGAGGAACACCAGAGGCGAAAGCGGCGACCUGGAAAGGCACUGACACUCAACUACGAAAGCGUGGGGAGCAAACAGG
This 253-nucleotide ribosomal RNA is filed under the name uncultured bacterium. RNAcentral's name for it is "partial 16S ribosomal RNA". It matches the Rfam family "Bacterial small subunit ribosomal RNA", at positions 524 to 776 of the family's 1533-position model. The record is from RNAcentral.